UACGUAGGGGGCAAGCGUUGUCCGGAAUCAUUGGGCGUAAAGAGCGUGUAGGUGGCUCGGUAAGUCCGCUGUAAAAGUCCAGGGCUCAACCCUGGAAAGCCAGUGGAAACUGUCGAGCUAGAGUCCGGAAGAGGCGAGUGGAAUUCCUGGUGUAGCGGUGAAAUGCGCAGAUAUCAGGAGGAACACCAAUGGCGAAGGCAGCUCGCUGGGACGGUACUGACACUGAGACGCGAAAGCGUGGGGAGCAAACAGGAUUAGAAACCCGCGUAGUCC
Molecule: ribosomal RNA, 273 nt
Filed under: uncultured Solirubrobacterales bacterium
Lineage: Bacteria; Bacillati; Actinomycetota; Thermoleophilia; Solirubrobacterales
Description: partial 16S ribosomal RNA
Rfam family: Bacterial small subunit ribosomal RNA
Source: RNAcentral